This 822-nucleotide ribosomal RNA is filed under the name bacterium. Its description in RNAcentral is "bacterial SSU rRNA". It matches the Rfam family "Bacterial small subunit ribosomal RNA", at positions 38 to 870 of the family's 1533-position model. The record is from RNAcentral.
GGCGGCGUGCUUAACACAUGCAAGUCGAACGAUGAUGCCCAGCUUGCUGGGUGGAUUAGUGGCGAACGGGUGAGUAACACGUGAGUAACCUGCCCCUGACUCUGGGAUAAGCGUUGGAAACGACGUCUAAUACUGGAUAUGAUCACUGGCCGCAUGGUCUGGUGGUGGAAAGAUUUUUUGGUUGGGGAUGGACUCGCGGCCUAUCAGCUUGUUGGUGAGGUAAUGGCUCACCAAGGCGACGACGGGUAGCCGGCCUGAGAGGGUGACCGGCCACACUGGGACUGAGACACGGCCCAGACUCCUACGGGAGGCAGCAGUGGGGAAUAUUGCACAAUGGGCGAAAGCCUGAUGCAGCAACGCCGCGUGAGGGAUGACGGCCUUCGGGUUGUAAACCUCUUUUAGUAGGGAAGAAGCGAAAGUGACGGUACCUGCAGAAAAAGCACCGGCUAACUACGUGCCAGCAGCCGCGGUAAUACGUAGGGUGCAAGCGUUGUCCGGAAUUAUUGGGCGUAAAGAGCUCGUAGGCGGUUUGUCGCGUCUGCUGUGAAAUCCCGAGGCUCAACCUCGGGCUUGCAGUGGGUACGGGCAGACUAGAGUGCGGUAGGGGAGAUUGGAAUUCCUGGUGUAGCGGUGGAAUGCGCAGAUAUCAGGAGGAACACCGAUGGCGAAGGCAGAUCUCUGGGCCGUAACUGACGCUGAGGAGCGAAAGCGUGGGGAGCGAACAGGAUUAGAUACCCUGGUAGUCCACGCCGUAAACGUUGGGCGCUAGAUGUAGGGACCUUUCCACGGUUUCUGUGUCGUAGCUAACGCAUUAAGCGCCCC